UACGUAGGGGGCUAGCGUUAUCCGGAUUUACUGGGCGUAAAGGGUGCGUAGGUGGUUUCUUAAGUCAGGAGUGAAAGGCUACGGCUCAACCGUAGUAAGCUCUUGAAACUGGGAAACUUGAGUGCAGGAGAGGAAAGUGGAAUUCCUAGUGUAGCGGUGAAAUGCGUAGAUAUUAGGAGGAACACCAGUAGCGAAGGCGGCUUUCUGGACUGUAACUGACACUGAGGCACGAAAGCGUGGGGAGCAAACAGGAUUAGAUACCCUGGUAGUCCACGCCGUAAACGAUGAGUACUAGGUGUCGGGGGUUACCCCCCUCGGUGCCGCAGCUAACGCAUUAAGUACUCCGCCUGGGGAGUACGCUCGCAAGAGUGAA
This 373-nucleotide ribosomal RNA is filed under the name uncultured bacterium. RNAcentral's name for it is "bacterial SSU rRNA". It matches the Rfam family "Bacterial small subunit ribosomal RNA", at positions 524 to 898 of the family's 1533-position model. The record is from RNAcentral.